AAAAAAAAAUUGAAUAAUUAAUAAAAAGUCUAUCAACUCUCUCUUUCUCUUUCUUGACCAACUAGAAGUCCUUUUUGGUCAUUACAGUUUUCAUCAAUUAUUUCUUUUUAUAACUCUCAUUGUCUUUCUUCAGUUGAGCUCAUGUAUCAAUAAAAACAUACUAGAAUUAAUUUAGGGUUUUCUGGCAACAUCUACUUUUGAGCUUUAGGUCUAAGCUUAUAAGGAAAAAGAAAUGUACACACAUAUAUGCAUGGUGGAUUGAUCCAACAAAGAUGAAUAAUAAUGGAAGGAAAAAAGAGUGAAGGAGCUUCCUACAGCCCAACCAUAGAUAUAAGAGCAGAAUUAAUUAGUACUAAGUGAGUGAUAUAAUAAAAAAAUGAUAUUCCAUUUAGAAUGAAAUAAUAGCAAUGUGGUUGGACUGAAGGGAGCUCCUUCUUUCUGUUGCCUCCAUUUGUGUAAGAUUGACUCAAAAGACUUUAUGCAUGUCUCAGCUUAAUAUGUAUAUAUAUGCUUUAAUUGAGCAUAUAAGAAGGUGAAGAGUGAAGAGUGAAGACAGAGUAAAGUACAGUGAAAACUACUGUAGCUGAUGUUACAUAUCGUCUUGUAAGUAUUAACUCUUUUACUAUUCAUGCACAACAUUCAGGAAACAUAUAUCUGAACAGUUUCAUAUCAAUUUAAUUUCCUCAUCACCCACUUUGUACUUUUUUCAAACUACGAAAUAUUCAACAUCAAUAAUUAAAUAAAUCAAUAUUCUUUUCUUAUAUA
Molecule: long non-coding RNA, 765 nt
Organism: Cicer arietinum (chickpea)
Lineage: Eukaryota; Viridiplantae; Streptophyta; Magnoliopsida; Fabales; Fabaceae
Source: RefSeq, a predicted model, not a curated record